Molecule: ribosomal RNA, 253 nt
Filed under: uncultured bacterium
Lineage: Bacteria
Description: partial 16S ribosomal RNA
Rfam family: Bacterial small subunit ribosomal RNA
Source: RNAcentral
UGCGGAGGGUGCAAGCGUUAAUCGGAAUUACUGGUCGUAAAGCGUGCGCAGGCGGUGAUGUAAGACAGUUGUGAAAUCCCCGGGCUCAACCUGGGAACUGCAUCUGUGACUGCAUCGCUGGAGUGCGGCAGAGGGGGAUGGAAUUCCGCGUGUAGCAGUGAAAUGCGUAGAUAUGCGGAGGAACACCGAUGGCGAAGGCAAUCCCCUGGGCCUGCACUGACGCUCAUGCACGAAAGCAUGGGGAGCAAAAGGG